This is a long non-coding RNA of Perca fluviatilis (European perch), 898 nucleotides long. RefSeq lists it as uncharacterized. The record is from RefSeq and is a predicted model, not a curated record. The transcript is spliced from 3 exons. NCBI's taxonomy places the organism in Eukaryota, Metazoa, Chordata, Actinopteri, Perciformes, Percidae.
CAGUGUAAAGCUUGUCAGGAGGACUGGUUACUCAACGAGUCUAACUGCUAUGAGAUUCAUGAUGCUGAUCCUUCUAAUCAGAAAACCUGGGAAGAAGCUUGAGUAAACUGCAGCGGGUAUAACGCAGAUUUUGUUAUUGUACACAGUCAAGAGGAAAAGGAUAUGAUCAAUGGUUACAGCUGGGGUAACCAAGAUGAGAGUGGAUACUGGAUUGGCCUGAGAGUUGAAAAUGGGAGAUGGAAGUGGAUUGAUGGAAGUGAUCUGGCUGUAGACUUCUGGAUAGGACCUCCCUUUGACGGUCACUGUGCAGUUUCUGUCCAGGACGUAGGAUGGAGAUCAGUGAGCUGUGCUGACAGAAAACGAUGGAUCUGCAAAAAGAAGGCUUUAUGUGUUUAAACACUGCAGUCAUAUUCAGCAUGAUAAUAUCAACUGGCUUAUACAUAUGAAACUAUGAAAACUUUCAAAGCUGUUUGUGUGUGUCUGAAAAAACAGACACUUAGAUUAAAUGUAAUUGAGUUAGAUAUUUGGAUUAUAGAGGUAUGGUGUGUCUGACUACUGACACCAACAUUUAAGAAAAUACAGUGACUGGCCUGAAGGGGCACUAAACUGUUAAUUAUCAAUAACUAUAAAUAUGAUUUUUUCUUCUUCGUUAGAGUUGCAAUGCCAGAGACCGGUUAGUAGAGGAUUUUUGGCAAUGCUUAUAUUUCCUGUUUCUAUGACAUUUUAUUUUGUUGCUCCUGAUUGGCCAACAGAGGGCGCUGCAUCACUUGUUCUCAACAGAAUGUUCCAGAGUCUGUUUCAAUAUUUCCUUGUACAGCUGAUGGUUAAGUGUUAUCUUUCUAUCUAGAAGCAGUUUCAUAUUUUAGUCUAUUACAUUGAAUAAAGUGUAUGCCAGAUA